This 1587-nucleotide unclassified non-coding RNA is filed under the name Hevea brasiliensis (rubber tree). The record is from RNAcentral. Lineage: Eukaryota; Viridiplantae; Streptophyta; Magnoliopsida; Malpighiales; Euphorbiaceae.
AUCUCUGCUAUUGUCAAGUUCUCCACCAACUGGGCUAGAGUUGAGUAAGCCACUGUCAAAGAAUCCGUAGAUCUCUCUCCGUCUAUUUGAGUUUCACAAGGAGUAAUGGCAGAUGAGGGAGCCGCUGAAGUCACUGCUCCAGUUCGUCGUGUUCUUCUCAUUUCCGCUGGUGCUUCUCAUUCCGUCGCUCUCCUCUCUGCAAACAUUGUUUGUUCUUGGGGACGUGGAGAAGAUGGGCAGUUAGGCCAUGGUGAUGCUGAGGAUCGACUUUCUCCGACAAAAUUGAGUACAUUGGAUGGUCUUGAAAUUGUUUCUGUUAUUUGUGGUGCUGAUCAUACAAUUGCAUAUUCUGAGUCACAUGCGAAUGUUUAUAGUUGGGGAUGGGGAGAUUUUGGUAGGUUGGGCCAUGGAAAUUCCAGUGAUUUAUUCACUCCUCAACCAAUUGGAGCAUUACAUGGUUUAAGGAUAAAACAAAUUGCUUGUGGGGACAGCCAUUGUUUGGCAGUGACAAUGGAAGGCCAGGUGCAGAGUUGGGGGCGAAAUCAAAAUGGCCAGCUUGGUCUUGGGACCACUGAAGAUUCUCUUGUGCCUCAGAAAAUUCAAGCCUUCCAGGGAAUCCCAAUUAAAAUGGUCGCAGCUGGUGCUGAACAUACUGCAGCUGUUGCAGAAGGUGGAGAGCUUUAUGGAUGGGGUUGGGGCCGAUAUGGGAAUUUGGGCUUGGGUGACAGAAAGGAUCGAUUGGUGCCUGAGAAAGUUUCUCUCCCUCAUGGAGAGAAGAUGGUUAUGGUUGCUUGUGGAUGGCGGCAUACAAUAUCUGUUUCCUCUUCUGGUGGAUUAUACACAUAUGGAUGGAGUAAAUAUGGUCAGUUAGGACAUGGGGAUUUCGCCGAUCACCUCAUUCCGCAUCAACUGGAAGCAUUGCGGGAUAGUUUUAUAUCUCAGAUAUCAGGCGGUUGGAGACACACUAUGGCAGUGACAUCUGAUGGAAGACUGUAUGGCUGGGGAUGGAAUAAGUUUGGACAGGUCGGAGUUGGUGACAAUGUGGACCAUUGUUCUCCUGUGCAAGUUAAAUUUCCUAAUGAGCAGAAAGUGAUUCAGAUCGCAUGUGGAUGGAGGCACACACUUGCUGUUACGGAACAGCAAAAUGUAUUUUCUUGGGGAAGAGGUACAAAUGGACAGCUUGGCCAUGGAGAGUCUGUUGACCGGAACGUACCGAUGAUGAUAGAAGCUUUAAGUGUUGAUGGAUCUGGUUGCCAGCAGAUAGAAUCCUCAACGGUUGAUUUGUCAUCAGGGAAAGCCUGGGUGUCACCAUCAGAAAGAUAUGCUGUCGUUCCUGAUGAAUCGGGGCAAACCGGUGGUUCAGGCAAUGGGAAUGAUGCAAGUGUUCCGGAGGGUGAUGUUAAGCGGAUCCGAAUUUGAUCCCAAUUGCCAAGACUGAAUGUAAAUUCCUACUGCGUCCAGACUGUCUUUUGCUCUUGUUAACUAACAUUGUGUUGGUUUUUUUUUUUUUUGGAGCAAUGUGUUGGUGCUUGGUUUACACAGGCUUUUUUCUAUUAUUUUAGAUUUUUAGUUUUUUUUUCUGGGCCC